UAAUUUUAGUAUAGGAAACCAACUUAUGGUCAUCAAAUUUGACAAGAAUAAGCUAGAGGGGAAAGUCCCGCAAUCUUUGAUCAAUUGCAAAUAUUUGGAAGUUCUUGAUUUAGGUAACAAUGAGUUGAGUGACAUAUUUCCUAAAUGGUUGGGAGCCCUACCUAAGUUGCAGAUUUUGAACUUGAGAUCAAAUAAGUUUUAUGGCCCUAUAAAAGUUUCAAGGGCUGACAACUUAUUUGCUCAAAUUCGAGUCAUAGAUCUCUCAUCCAAUGGAUUUAGUGGAGAUUUACCAGUGAGCCUUUUUGGGAAUUUUGAAGCCAUGAAAAUAAUUGGUAAGAACAGUGGAAGCCGAGAGUAUGUAGCAGAUAUGCCUUCUGUUUUUUAUACAAGUUCCUUUAUAGUGACAACAAAGGGACUGGAGCUUGAAUUUCCUCGAGUUUUGACUAUAGAGAUUAUUAUCAAUCUCUCAAGGAAUAGAUUUGAAGGUCAUAUCCCAAGCAUAAUUGGAGAUCUAAUUGGGCUUCGUACGUUGAACUUAUCUCAUAAUCGCUUGGAGGGUCAUUUACCAGCUUCACUACACCAAUUAUCUGUACUUGAAUCAUUGGAUCUCUCAUCAAACAAAAUCAGCGGAGAAAUUCCACAACAACUUGCAUCCCUCACAUUUCUUGCAAUCAUAAAUCUCUCUCACAAUCAUCUUGUUGGAUGCAUCCCCAAAGGAAAACAAUUUGAUACAUUUGAGAAUAGUUCAUACCAAGGAAAUGAUGGGUUACGUGGAUUGCCACUCUCAAAAGAUUGUGGCGGUGAUGAAGGGGUACCACAAAUGACGAAUCCAAUUGAGCUAGAUGAAGAAGAAGGAGGAGAUUCAUCAAUGAUCAGUUGGCAGGAGGUUCUCAUGGGUUACGGUUGUGGACUUGUUAUUGGAUUGUCCAUUAUAUACAUAAUGCUGUCAACUCAAUAUCCAGCAUGGUUUUCGAAGAUGGAUGUAGAAUUGGAACACAAAAUUAUGACGAGAAUAAAAAGGCACAAGAAAAAACAUUAGUGUGUAACCUCCAGGUAUUCAACUUAAUCUCUAUCCUUCAAAGGAUUACAUUUUAUAUAUCCAUAAAUUUUCUACCUCCUUCAUCGUUAAAGCUUUUAACUUUAAUUCUUCAUUUUUGAAAAUUGCAGGAUUCACGUCCACUGCUUUGCUGGGAUGCGAAUAAAAUCUUUUAAUUUCAUAGUUUGUGAUGUGUCAUAAAGUGUUUGUGUUUUUUUCCAUAGUUUGUGAUGUUUCAUAAAGUGUUAGUUAAACAUAGCAAGACUUAUCUGGGUGACAUGGUCUUUUUGUGUGAUGGUUGAUCCUAAUUCAGUCCUAUAAUUCCGGUUCAUAUUCGUAUUGAUGUAUAGAUAUUUGACAAUAAAACAGAACAUGCUAAAAUUUAUGAUUGGUAAUCUAUCAUUCACCUCUAUCAACUCGUAAGAGUACACUCAGUGAGAUGCAUUCCACAAUGCAAUAAUUUUGAUUUUUCAAAUUCAACAUCAAAUGCUGCUAUUGCACGUUCCGGAACCUUAAAAUUGGAACACAAAAUUAUUACGAGAAUGAAAAGGCACAAGAGAAAAUAUUAGUGUGAUGCAAAUAAAAGCUUUUACUUUCCUAGUUUGUGAUGUUUUUGAAGGGUGUAUUUUCCUAUGUAUAAAAGCAUUAGUUUUCGUUUAUCAAUAGUUUGUUACUUAUUCAACGUAAUUAUUAGUUAUCUAAUUGGAUCCGACGGCAAAGUUCAGUUAAUGCAUAUAAACAUUUGAGAUUCAAUUUUCUUAUUGAACACUUAUUGGUAAAAAGUUUGUAGAACGACCUCAAGUUAAGAUUGUGAAUUCGCCCAACAAACUGCUUCUUGUCAAAAUUACGUAGAAAGUGCAAUACUUUGUUUUUAAGGUAUAAAGAGGUAUUUUAAGUUUAUAUGCCAAGUGGAAUUCUCUUGUUUCUGAAUCCGAUUUCACGGAUAUCCAUACAACUCACUCUAUGACCCGUCCGCGUGGAGCAAAAUUCUUUUUGGACGGAAGGGAAUUUUAUUACACUGUUGAUCAUCAAACGGAAGAUGAAAAAGCCUCUGCUUUCGGCAGUACUAGAUACCAAUACUGGUAUUUCAUUGUUCCUCUGUUUUAUAAAGAAAAAACAACGUAUAAAUGUUUAUGUAGCCAUCCAAAAAAAAUUUAACAGAUACAAAAAAAUAUAUUACAAUAUAGCCGCAAAAAAUAGUUUUAAUUUUUUUUUUACUUUUUUCUCUUUUUCCAUUCACAUUUUUUUUAUUCUCAUAUUUUACACUAAAAAUGAAAGGGAAAAAAAUAAAUAAGAAUAAGAGACUCAAAUAAUGAUAAGCAAAUAAAUCUAUAACAGCGAUAUCAAACUACGUAUUGAAUAAAAAAAAAUCAUGUGUGAGAAAGAUCAAAUAUACCCUGAAUUUUGCAGAAAGGAUCAUAUAUACCUGUACAUGAAUUCUUUUUAAAAAAAUAAAAGAAUUUAACAUUAAUGUUUUCACUACCAUUAGAAAAAGUAAUCUUUGUGCAUAUGACCAAACCUACUUGGAUUUUUUACUUGAAAGUCAAAGGUCUGUACAACAACCAACACUCAUAUCCAAACCAAUCAAAAUAAAAUUGGAAAAUGCUUUGGUCAAGGGUCUAUGCACCAACUAGUACUCUUAUAGAAUUUUCUUUUUCAUUGGACUCUGCAUAUACAACUGACCUCACUAAAUUUGAAUUUAUUUGCUUAAUUUGUGCUAUAUAUACCUUAUCAAAGUUAUUGAAUAGAGGAAGAAAACAAAGAGUUGUUUGAACAUUUUAGUGCAACAAUGGGCUAUGUAAACCAUGUAUUUUUUAUGCUAUUUCCCUUCCUCUGCCAUCUUUCUUUCUCCUCAUCCUUACCUCAUUUGUGCACCACAGAUCAAGCUCUUGCUCUUCUACUAUUCAAGCACAUGUUUACAAUAAGUCAUGAUGCUUUUGAUCGUUGUUUUGACAUAACAGGCCAACCGAUUCAGUCAUAUCCAGAAACUCUUUCGUGGAACAAGAGGACAGAUUGUUGCUCUUGGGAUGGAGUUUAUUGUGACGAGACGACAGGAAAAGUGAUUGAGCUUAACCUCACUUGCAGCAAACUUCAAGGCAAGUUUCACUCCAGCAGUAGUGUCUUUCAACUCUCCAAUCUCAAAAGGCUUGAUUUGUCUAAUAAUAAUUUCUCUGGAUCGUACAUUUCGCCUAAAUUUGGUGAGUUUUCUAGUUUGAUGCAUCUUGAUUUGUCGGAUUCAAGAUUUGCAGGUCUAACCCCAGCAGAAAUCUCUCGUCUUUCUAAAUUACAAGUUCUUAGUAUCGAGAGUGAUCCAUAUGAGCUUAGAUUCGAACCUCACAAUUUUGAACUGCUCCUUAAGAACUUGACCCGAUUAAGAGAGCUCUACCUUAUCUAUGUGAACAUCUCUUCCACCAUUCCUCUAAAUUUAUCUUCUUAUUUAACUACUCUAUGGCUUCCAUUUACACAGUUAUACGGGGUAUUGCCCGAAAGAGUUUUCCACCUUUCCAACUUGGAAUCUCUUGAUUUAUCAAACAAUCCACAGCUCGCCGUUAGGUUUCCCACAACCAAAUGGAAUAGCAGUGCAUCACUUAUGAAGUUAUAUCUCAGUGGUGUGAAUGCUACUGGUAGGAUACCUGAAUCAUUUGGUCAUCUAACUUCAAUGCGUACAUUAGAGUUGUUUUCUUGUAGUCUCUCAGGGUCUAUUCCUAAACCUCUAUGGAAUCUCACCAACAUAGAGGAUUUGGACCUUGGUUAUAACCAUCUUGAAGGACCCAUUUCUGAUUUCUUUAGAUUUGGAAAGAUCAGGUCGUUAUCACUUAGAAAUAACAACUUUGAUGUCCAACUUGAGUUCUUAUCCUUUAACAGAAUCUGGACGCAACUUCAAUUCUUAGAUUUUUCAUUCAAUUCCCUAACAGGUCCAAUUCCUUCUAUUGUAAGUGGUAUGCAAAACCUACAACAUCUCAGCUUGUCAUCAAACCAUUUGAAUGGGACUAUACCAUCAUGGAUAUUCUCCCUCCCUUUACUAGUUGAUUUAGACUUGAGUGAUAACCAUUUUAGUGGAAACAUUCAUUAGUUUGGAAGUUCUUGAUUUAGGUAACAAUAAGUUGAAUGACACAUUUCCUAAAUGGUUGGGAGCCCUACCUGAGUUGUAGAUUUUGAACUUGAGAUCAAAUAAGUUCUAUGGCCCUAUAAAAGAUUCUAGGACUGACAACUUGUUUGCUCAAAUU
RNAcentral lists this long non-coding RNA (4263 nucleotides) under Solanum tuberosum (potato). Its description in RNAcentral is "long non-coding RNA (STUB_LNC000338)". Lineage: Eukaryota; Viridiplantae; Streptophyta; Magnoliopsida; Solanales; Solanaceae. The record is from RNAcentral.